RNAcentral lists this ribosomal RNA (424 nucleotides) under Verrucomicrobiota bacterium. Its description in RNAcentral is "Verrucomicrobia bacterium partial 16S ribosomal RNA". It matches the Rfam family "Bacterial small subunit ribosomal RNA", at positions 355 to 776 of the family's 1533-position model. The record is from RNAcentral. Lineage: Bacteria; Pseudomonadati; Verrucomicrobiota.
UGAGGAAUAUUGGUCAAUGGGCGAGAGCCUGAACCAGCCAAGUAGCGUGCAGGAUGACGGCCCUAUGGGUUGUAAACUGCUUUUAUAUGGGAAUAAAGUGAGGGACGUGUCCCUUAUUGCAUGUACCAUAUGAAUAAGGACCGGCUAAUUCCGUGCCAGCAGCCGUGGUAAUACGGAAGGUCCAGGCGUUAUCCGGAUUUAUUGGGUUUAAAGGGAGCGUAGGCUGUUUGUUAAGCGUGUUGUGAAAUGUAAGAGCUCAACUUUUAGAUUGCAGCGCGAACUGGCAGACUUGAGUGCGCACAACGUAGGCGGAAUUCAUGGUGUAGCGGUGAAAUGCUUAGAUAUCAUGACGAACUCCGAUUGCGAAGGCAGCUUACGGGAGCGCAACUGACGCUAAAGCUCGAAGGUGCGGGUAUCGAACAGG